AUUGAACGCUGGCGGCAGGCUUAACAUAUGCAAGUCGAGCGGAGAUGAGGUGCUUGCACCUUAUCUUAGCGGCGGACGGGUGAGUAAUGCUUAGGAAUCUGCCUAUUAGUGGGGGACAACAUUCCGAAAGGAAUGCUAAUACCGCAUACGUCCUACGGGAGAAAGCAGGGGAUCUUCGGACCUUGCGCUAAUAGAUGAGCCUAAGUCGGAUUAGCUAGUUGGUGGGGUAAAGGCCUACCAAGGCGACGAUCUGUAGCGGGUCUGAGAGGAUGAUCCGCCACACUGGGACUGAGACACGGCCCAGACUCCUACGGGAGGCAGCAGUGGGGAAUAUUGGACAAUGGGGGGAACCCUGAUCUAGCCAUGCCGCGUGUGUGAAGAAGGCCUUAUGGUUGUAAAGCACUUUAAGCGAGGAGGAGGCUACUGAGACUAAUACUCUUGGAUAGUGGACGUUACUCGCAGAAUAAGCACCGGCUAACUCUGUGCCAGCCGCCGCGGUAA
This 501-nucleotide ribosomal RNA is filed under the name uncultured bacterium. RNAcentral's name for it is "partial 16S ribosomal RNA". It matches the Rfam family "Bacterial small subunit ribosomal RNA", at positions 30 to 523 of the family's 1533-position model. The record is from RNAcentral.